CAGCAACCCCCAGCCUUGGCGGCCUCACUGCGACCUCGCCAGUCGUACCAUCGACACCGAAACCGGCGGGACUUGGAGCCAGAAGCUCCGGAUUUUCGCGAGAAAUCGUGGUGAUGGUGAAAUCGGCGAACGAGUGCUUCAGAGGCUCGUAAGAAUUAUAGAUUCCUGUAGUUCGGAGACGAAGUAGUUUGGUGCUUUUAUGACAUAUACGCAACAAGUCGCGUUCCAAUUGUUUAUUAUUAUACGCAUGAGGCUUGGUUAGAAAGAGGAACUCAACGAAACUGUAAUGUUCGUUGAGUUAUGGGAUUGGGGAAAGGUGCCUACCAAAUAAGAAGAAGACGAUGAGUAGCUUGUAGAGCUUCUGGUCAUUCUUGGUGAGUGUACCAAAGGAAUUUGGUCAACGUCUUCAAAUUUAGUUAAACCGGCAGUCUGUUUUUGACAAUCCGGUAGACAAAGUUAAAUGAAAAAACUAUUGAAAUAAAGAACGUGUUUGUGCGGCGUGUUGUUUUGUGCCAGUGAGGUAUUCGACGGAGAAGAUAAAAUGUGAGGAACGAAAAAUGAGCGUCAAUUCGGAUUCUGCUUUCUUGAUUUCGUUUGUAACGAAAAUGUUGUUUGUUUCUGUCUCAUGUGAACCACGUGAAUAGUCAGUGAUUGUGAAUAAAGAUUGAAGCAGUUGAACGGGGGUGAAUGAAUUGAUUAUUAAUUAACGAUAUUCUAUAAUUGGGAAUAUAAAAAAGCGUGACAAAAAGAAACGAGGACCAUUAAAAACGACGAAAUUAGUUAUCGAUGUAUGUUUUAAAGGAUUCGUAAUGAAAUUAGUGUGUAAAUAAAAUUAAUGAGAAAGACAGGAUUAGGAGGCACGAAAAGUAAUUAGAUUAAAAAUGACAGAGAGAGAGAGAAAGAGAAAAAGAUGACAAUUAAAUGAAGGCAAUAUGUUGAGAUGAACUGUUCAAUGAUGAUUAUUUAUACAGAUAUGAUGUGAAAGGGAAAUAAAAGUAAGCGAGUCUCCGUGCAAAGAGAGAGAGAGAGAGAGAGAGAGAGAGAGAGAGAGAGAGAGAGAGAGAGAGCGAGAGAGACGGAUAGAAAGAAGGAGAAAAACGUAUAAGGGUAAUGAAACGCGAAUAUCUUCAUCCCUUCGACGAGAACGCACCGAGUAUAUAGUGGAUAUAUUGGCGGAUGGAUGGACGGAUGGAUGGAGUGGGAGGGGAGGGCCGCUGGAUCAUGCCACUCGACAAAGCCAAGGGGGACAUUGCGAGAUGCGGGAAGUCGAAGGGUGACGGGAACUUCACCAAACCUCCAGGCAACCGAUCAAACAUGAAGAACGUGCCAAACCAGAGAAAAGAGUCUCGAGUCUUCGUACCUCGACUCACCAGUUCAAAUUUUUAAUCCAGACAGUAUUUUCGCCCGGUUUACUUGAUGCUAAAGUUGGAUUGGAGAACGAUAAAGCGACGAUGAAGAGCAAACGGGAAGAAUACAGGUUUUGGGUAUAAUGCAGUACAAAUUGACGAGGAAACGAUGAUACGGCCAAAGCUUGAUCUAGUUAAAACCCACGCGAGAUUCGACGCUCGUCUCGUGGUAAAAUCGAGAAAGAAAAGGACGGUUCGUACCUUGGCUUGUGACUGAUCGCAGUUGGCUAGACCGGUGAGGAAAGAUGGAGUACAACGAAACGCUGGACUUUGAGGAAGAAUUCGAUUCGAUGAACGCUUCGACGGUUGUGACGACAAUCCUGAACGGAGAUUCUGGGCCGUACAAUGACUCGACGGGUGCGGUAAGGGAGAAUGAGGAUAUCGAGCACGUCCUGCUGCAGGUGAUUAAGGCCUCCAUAAUGGGUUUCAUAAUCCUCUGCGCCCUCUUCGGCAACCUGUUGGUCAUAGUGUCGGUGAUGCGGCACCGUAAACUACGCGUGAUAACGAACUACUUCGUGGUGUCGUUGGCGCUUGCCGACAUGCUGGUUGCCAUAUUCGCGAUGACGUUCAACGCGAGCGUCGAGCUUUCCGGGCGAUGGCUCUUCGGGUACUUCAUGUGCGACGUGUGGAACUCGCUCGACGUAUUCUUCAGCACCGUCUCGAUCCUCCACCUCUGCUGCAUCAGCGUAGACCGCUACUACGCCAUCGUUCAGCCCCUCGACUAUCCCCUGAUCAUGACCAACCUCAGACUCGGUACGAUGCUCAGCGUAGUUUGGUGCUCGCCGGCCGUCGUCAGCUUCGUGCCGAUAUUCGCCGGCUGGUACACGACACCCGAACACCUUCAGUACCGCUCCAAUUAUCCGGAUGUUUGCGUAUUUCACGUUAAUCAAUUCUACGCAGUCGUCAGCUCCAGCGUAAGUUUCUGGGUACCCGGCAUUAUCAUGAUCGCAAUGUACUACAAGAUCUAUCAGGAGGCGGAUCGUCAGGAACGAAUGCUUUACAGGAGUAAAGUUGCGGCCGCCCUGCUGAACAAGCACCUUCAAAUAAACGGGAUUUCAGCCGGACUGACCUCCCUGCCAACUGUUGGACAAUCAUCACCCGAACCUGCGCCGGAAGAUCCACCGAUAGCGAGUAGCAGCAAAAUGAAAAGGGAACGAAAGGCUGCGAGGACUCUCGGCAUUAUAAUGUCGGCAUUUUUGGCCUGCUGGCUUCCAUUUUUUCUUUGGUACGUGAUAACGGCCCUCUGCGACACAUGCCAAAGUGGCAAUAUUGUUGUGGCUGCGGUGUUCUGGGUCGGUUACUUCAACAGCGCCCUGAACCCGUUGAUCUACGCGUAUUUCAACCGCGAGUUCAGGGCAGCGUUCAGAAAAACGUUGGAGAGUUGCUGCUCGGCAUUCAGUCCCGUAAAAGAUAUCGGCAAUAGAAAUCGGAAGCAGGAUUUGGUUCACAGCAACGCGUCCUCCGAACUCCAUGUGAACAACCAAUUGAGAACAAGCGAACUCACCAACGUUCACAUUGAGGCUUGCAUAUAAUUAUAUUUACAAUAUAGGUAUGUAAAAAUCGGAAUACGUUAUUCAAUUUUAAUUUUACGAAUCCGUUUUCCUUUGUUCACUGCUCUUAUUCUGUAAUCUAAUCGACUUAUAUCGAUUUAUUUGUUAUAAAUUACACACAGCUAAUUUAACGCAAAAUAAAUUCGCUUGAAUUUAUGCAAUUCAGGGUGCAGUUCAACAGAUCCCGUGCCUGCAUUUCGGCAACUGAGAUUACACAUUACCGAUCGCUAUUUGCCUCGAUUCCGACACGAUUGGCGUACUCCUUACAAAUUUCUUCAAUCGUGGUCCAUGAGACAAAUGCCGAUCGAUGAUAUGUACCCUCAGUUAUCGAAGAGUAGGCGCACAUCACCAAGAUGUACCCUGAAUUACAUAAACGCAGGCGUAUCUGAAUCUGUCCGAGUGAUGACAAAAAAACGAAUACAUAGGUAUAGAAACAAAGGUAGGAGGUGAGAAGUAAAUAGAACCCAAUCAUCGAUAUUAUAAACAUCACUGGACUCUAUACUAAGUGGUGCCGAUUAGAAUCCCAAAAAAUCGACAGUCGCGCUGCAAUACCCAGAGUUAAACUAACGGGUCACGUGGGUGAUAGCCUAUCAGAAACAGAUUUAGUCACAUGGUACAGCGUGGGGAAAGUUUAAAUGCAUGCGCCCCGUGAACAAAAUUACGAUGUUGUUCUCUUUUUCAUCAUAUACUUACUUGAAGAAAUGCACUGACGAAUGUAUUUUUUCUAUUUUCUUACAAAACCAACAAAACUCCGUUUCUGCAGGAACGUUUAUAUGCUGUCAGUUCUUGUGAGCCACGUGAUACGUUAGGUCCAUUUAGGCUAUUGAAUCGGUGGUGUCGAUUUCGUCUGCUUCUAAUUGAUUCAGGCGGAGGAGAACGAUAGUCAGCCAUCCAGCAGUGAUAAACAUGCAGAAACGAAUUAAAUAAUCGGAAGGCGCAGUGUAAAAACGUCGCCUAGUCUGAAGUAUUAUCUCUGCCAAGGUAUUUGAAAUUGAACUGAAGAUAAUCGACCACAGUUUGUGCCGCAAUAAUUGAUAUUAAUAUACUAUAGUCAUUUGAACUCGCGCCAAUUAACAUGUAUAAUGUUACAUGUAUUUAUCAAAAAUCGAACCACGACUGCGCACAAUAUUAAUAUUAUUGAUAGUUAGCGAAGAGCUGAAUAUCCGAUUUCAUUAUAUUAUACCGGUGUGUGAGAAAAAAUAUCAUAUAAUUUACGAAAAAAGACAAAAAAAUUAAAAUUUCUCUGCAUCGCGUACGACGAUAUAGGUAUAAUGCAUACAUAUAUAAGAAUGUCGGUGCAUGCACAUAGAUGUAUACGUAAUAUUCAAAUACUCCGAAAAUGUGUUUUACAUAAUAAAAAUAUAUUAAUAAUAAUAAUAAUAAUAAU
RNAcentral lists this unclassified non-coding RNA (4343 nucleotides) under Neodiprion pinetum (white pine sawfly). RNAcentral describes it as "octopamine receptor beta-1R-like, transcript variant X5". Lineage: Eukaryota; Metazoa; Arthropoda; Insecta; Hymenoptera; Diprionidae. The record is from RNAcentral.